CGGGGGGGGGAGGGGCGGCGCUUCCUUGUCCCUCGCGCGAGCGUGAAAGCGACCCUCGCGCGUGGCCUCUUUCUUUCUUUCUUUCUCCCCGCUGACGUGCCAUAGUGAGGCGCCCCUGGGAAAGAUAUAUUUCCCACAAGUAAAGACAAAUCCUGAAGGCGGAUUGUGUGGUAAAAAAAAUAAAAUAAAAGAUGUUAAAAGUCUAGUCCAGGGAGUUGUCAGAAGUUCCUGACCCGUUUCCAUGAAGGCGGGUCGGGCCACCUGGGAGGCGAGGCGAGCGGCCGGGGGAGCGGAUCCAGGCUCCCAGGCGCGCGUCGCCCUCCUCCCCAGGAGGCUCGUGUUGUGCUCCUCAGCGACAUUUCCCUCUCUCCUUCCCCCCUUCCUCCUCCUUCUUCUUCCUCGGAGCGAUGCCUUCCUUCUCCCCGAGAGCAAGGGGGCCAGGACUGCAGGGCACCCCAGAAGACCUCGCCCACCAGCCCCUUCUCCACACGAUCCACAGGUGACCCGUGCUAUCCCUGCAGUAUUCUGCAACAGGAAUACCGCUCUAAGAUUUUUUUUUCUACUUAGAAUUCAAAAAUAGUAGCAGUGAUGGUUACCAAUACUAAAUAAUUUUAAUUUUAUUUGCAGGAAACAUACUUUAUUUGAAGCACCAGAUACUGGCAGCAUUCACACAACAUGGUAAGCAAUGGUUGGUGGUUUACUGCGAAGGUACAGACCCACCCGAGAGCAACAGACCACAAUGCUUAGUUUAGUAACCCAAGAACAAGUUGACCCCUGAUUCUGAUGCAAGGCUAAGCCAAGGAUCGGUUGGUUUCUCCCAUCCACUACUGGGAAGGAGCAAAGGGAGAGCCAUCACAGGGGUUUCACAGAAACUAUUACCUGGUGGUUUGCUGUGACAUAUGAACACACAGCCCUAUUCAAGGGAUCACACUAGCCAAAAACACUUUCUUUUCACUAGUUGCCAAAAACCAUUUCUUCUUCUGAAUUAAUGCCAGUUUACCUUUAUCCAGCCAAGGCUCCCUAAUAAAUUAUGUUUCUGAAAUCUGGGUAAGUGCGCUUCCCUUUAGGAGCUGCAAUAUGAUUUUGUGGAUGAAACCAAUGUCAGCAGUGUUACCCAGUGAACUGAUGUAUCCAUAUCCAUUCUGAAUCCUUCAGAUUUGGCCCAAUUAAGUUUAUAGUCCAAAAUACGUUCCAAGGAGGUGCUUGCAGCACGUUGGGUACUAAUUUCAAAUAGGAUGGGAAACACUUCAUCAGCACAAAGCUGAAUUCUCAAUUCUUAAAGUUUUUUAUGUGUGAUGUCUUAGUGUAUUUUUGGUCUUUGUGGAAGCCGCCCAGAGUGGCUGGGGAAACCCAGCCAGAUGGGCGGGGUACAAAUAAUAAAUUAGUAUUAUUAUUAUUAGUCACUGAUUAUAAUACCUUCAUAUCUUGCCACAUGCAAGAGAUUAUAGAAAAAGACCUAGGAAUAACAGAGACAAGAGGGAGUUGUGCCUCAUCCCCCUUUGCAAAGAUGCUGGAGUUAAACGAAGUCAUUCUUUUAGAAGUGAGGUCCUUUAUGAAUUAGUUUUACCUGUAUUUAAAAAUGCAGCCAGUGUGGGAGUUCUGUGGCUUCACUUACCCAGGAGUCAACUGAAGGGUAGAGAAGGAAAUAAAAGCACAGAUGGUGACAAUUACCUUAUGAACAGUGGCCAUUCACCAAAAAUGUUAGUUGAUAACACAGACCUCUACAUUUUGCUUUGUUUUGGCUUCACUGUUUACAUCUCCCCUCCGCAACUCAGGAUAACAAUACAUCUUAUGAAGUGGAUUGCAUACUCUGGGAAAAAGUAAGAGAGGCCAUGAUGGUCCUUUCUUUAAAGUGAGUAUGGCAAAGUCAUCCGUUUUACAGAAAAACGUUUAACACUAUGUAGAAAAACAUACUCUGCUUUGAUUCCAGGAAGAGUUAAGGCUUGUACGUGCAUAAAUUUGUACCUGUUCUAACAACCGGCAGAGGGGAAAACACAUUCCUCAAAAAGAUUUGCAGUCAACAUAUUGGAGCAACAUGCUAAUCCAUGAAAUGUGUAGAUUGGGAGAACUAAGAGCAAUGAACAUAUGGACCUCUCUGUAGAGCUUAAACAUUUUCAGUGUUCCUAACAAUAGCAAGAUUUUUACCUUUGAUAAUCUUAAGAGAUUUGUUAUUUUUGGCAGGCACCGAAGCUGAAAGUGCUAUGCCAGUCUUUCCAUUCUUACCCAAUUGCUGCUGCAUGUUUGGGUGCUGAUUGACUAACUGAGCCCUUAACAAAACAGAGGGUGAGCAUAUACUGCUAGGAAAUAGCAAAACCUUGCUUCCUCAAAACCAACAUGCAAAAUUUGUUUUGGGGACAUUUUUGCGUCAGCUGUAUCCUAUGAAGGACUGCAAGUUCUCAAUUUCUCCUCCCCCCCUUUUAUUUUUUUGCAGCUCCAUCUUUCCAUGCACAUAGAGCAAACUCACAGCUGGCUUCCCCAGAAUGUCUGUCACAUGCAGGCUCUGUUCUCAUAUUUCUGUAAGAUCUGAGUCCCAAAGGAAGCAUUAAUGCUAGAGGAAUGCAUGCUGGCAUGUGACUCCUGUGAAAGGAAGUUGGGGAAAGAAAACUCAAAUAAGCUCCUCAGGUCCACUGUGGGAACCACCCUCUGCCUAAAGAUUUGUGGGUCAACCUUUUAAAUAUUUUUCAAUAGAUAACACUGUUACAAGGAGGAGGGGGAGGCGUGAGCUUCAGAAUUGCAGUCAAACUGGUAUCCAGGAGGAAAUAGCAGCCUAGACUGGUCAUGUGGUGCAGGAAAGAAAUCUGGACCAGCUGCCUGCAGACCUCAUCAGGGGAGCAUGUAACUGAUGGCAAACCGAAAAGAGAAAAAUAUCCCCAGCACAGGAUCUGAAAUCAAAGGUUGCCAUGCAGGAAUAGGAAAAUGGGGAAGUGUAUGGGGGGGGGGAAUGAUGGCAGUGGCAUGGUGUGGGUGGCCAGCGCCCCGGGCUGCGCAAAGGGGAUGGGGUGGGAGGGAGGUAAACAGACGGAGUAUGCAUGCACAUUCAACUGCCUAAUGGCAUUCGCGUCACCCAGGAGAUCAUAGCUGCAGAGAUAAGAAAAUAAGAGUCAUUCCGUUGUCUGGAGAUGUCACUUCCUGGUUCUCAUGAAGAAACCAUUUUCAACGGAACCCAGCAAAGGAAACGUAGCUGUAUUGAGACAGCACUGGGCGUUGAAGUUUUGUGCCCCUAACAAUUUUUGGCAACCAGGGCAACCGCCCGUGCCCCUCCCCUAACACUACCCCACUAAAUGAUGGGGGUAUCUGGAGUUCAGUUGUUCAUAAGAAGAUUUUAGGUUGCAUACACACCAUACAUUUACAUCAGGGGUCAGCAAACCUUUUCAGCAGGGGGCUGGUCCACUGUCCCUCAGGCCUUUUGGGGGGCCGGACUAUAUUUUUUGGGGGGGGGAUGAUGCACGAGCCCCAGUGGCUGCUUACCUGUCUUGCGAGUGGCAGGGGCUGGCAAUGGCGGCAGCGGCGGAGGGACGAUGAGCGGCACAUGAAAGGGCUCCGGAGAGGGGCUGCUUAAAAUGGCAGCUGCUUGAGCGCUGCUGCUGCUGCUGGCACUAACAUAGCCCAGCCCCCUUCCUCCUCUAGGCAGGGCAGGGAGAAGCCAGGAGGAGGGAGGGAGGAGGAGCCGCUGCCGUGGGAGGAAGAGGGAAAGAACGUGCACGUGUUGGCGAUCCACAUGGCGAUUCCCAGACAAUCCGCGGGCUGGAUCCAGAAGGCAAUUGGACCUGAUCCGGUCCAUUUGCCGACCCAUUAUUUACAGCAUUCAACCCCCCCCCCCCCAAUAAUCCUAGGAAUAGAGCUACAAUUCUCUUCACAGAGCUACAAUUCUCAGCACCCUUAACAAACCCAUGUUUCCCUUGGGGGAAGUCGUGUGCUUUAAAUACUAUGGUGUGCAUACAGCCCUAGACAAAAAAAAUCACAAGGACGCAGACUUGCAGGGAGAACAUACUGGUUCUAGAGCAAGCAGGAGUCAUUGUUUCUCCAUCACACCACCCUCUUGAUUUUGUAAUGCCUGGUGUCGCUGCCAGUGCCUGGCAUCUCCUGUUUCUCAGGAAACACUAUUUGCCCCAAUUAUGUGCUCCUAUUUGAAGUCUUCACUGGCAUUUCUUAUACAGUAGGCUGGAUAACAAGUUUAUUCCACAUGUGCAUACUGUAUACUGAAUCAUCUCAUGGCUUAUUUUGCCUCUUGCCAUCAGGUUUGCUUACAUCAGGGUGGCUAACCCAGGGCCAUUCAGACGUUGUUGGGUUCAACUCCCAUGAGCCCCAAGAGGCAUGGACAUUGGUCAGGGAUGGUGGCCGUUCUGUUCCAAGAAUAUCUGGAAGGCCACAGGUUAGCCAACUUGGCUGAAGCACUGCAAGGUGGUGUGUUUCUGUACGCCCUUCUCUUCUCAAAACUUAGUGUGCAGGGUGAUGCCCAAUGGUCUUCCAUCCAGGGUCUGGCCAGUCCCAGACCUGCUUAGCUUCACAAACAGAAUUGUAUCAAAUGCCUUCAGACUAGUCACUUUUCAAGAGCCCCUUACAGCAGGCCAGUUGUUCCGCAAACAGAAAUAAGCUGCAUAAUCAUCGCAGCUUAUUGAGAGCCCACAAAGAGAGGAGAGUUAAAACAGGUAGAGAAGACUCCAGUCUUCUUUCAGAAUUUAAAUUGUGGCAGGUGAACAUUUAAAGUGCUAUUGUACCACAGUCACAGCUUUCCCGAAAUCAUCUUGGGAACUGCAGUUUGUUGAGGGUGCUCUGUUCCCUGCACAGAGCUACAAUUCAAUACCCUCAAAGUAUCCCAGUUUUCCAGGGACAGUCCCAGAAUUACAGAAGCCAUCCUGGUUUCUGAUUUGAUCCUGGAAUGUCCUGCUUUCCCUCUAUCGGAUGUCCUUAUUUUCAUCAGAGAAAUGUUGGGAUGCAAUUCCCAAAGUUCCAUGGGAGGAGGGAUUGAUUGUUGAACUACUCUGAGAAUAGGAGUUACCUAACAAUAGGGCUGCCAUACGUCCAGAUUUUCCCAGACAUUACCCAGAUUUCAAAUGUGGAAUUGAUGUCUGGGGGAAUUUCCAAAAGGCGGCACGUUUUUGUCUUUCAAAAGUUCGACAACUUUUGGGUUUUCCUAAAAAAAACUCAACAACUUUCAGGGUGUCCUGGUUUUUACUUUUUGAAAUAUGGCAAUCCUACCGAACAACUCUUAGCACCCUUACCAAACCACAUUCCCCAGGAUUCUUUGGGGGAAGCCAUGAUUUUUUAAAAGUGGUAUGAUACUGCUUAGGGAUGUGGGUGGCACUGUGGGUUAAACCACAGAGCCUAGGACUUGCCAAUCAGAAGGUCGGUGGUUCGAAUACCCACAAUGGGGUGAGCUCCCAUUGCUCUGUCUCAGCUCCUGCCAACCUAGCAGUUCCAUAGCACGUCAAAGUGUAAGUAGAUAAAUAGGUACUGCUCCGGCAGGAAGGUAACUGGCGUUUCUGUGCGCUGCUCUGGUUCCCCAGAAGCGGCUGAGUCAUGCUGGCCACAUGACCCGGAAGCUGUACGCCAGCUCCCUCAGCCAGUAAAGCAAGAUGAGCGCCGCAACCCCAGAGUCGGCCACGACUGGACCUAAUGGUCAGGGGUCCCUUUACCUUUAUGAUACUACUUUAAAUGCAAACUGCAGAUGGGGCCUACCUCUUUCGGGCAUUCAGGUGCUUAGCAGUUUCUUCUCCUUGAUUUGCUCACUGGCUCCCUUGCAAAGACCUUGCCCUUCAUGCACCAAGGUUUAAUCCCCCAUUUCUCUUCCAAUCCAGUUUCAUUGCAGCCUCACAUUCUCUCUACAGCUGGAACUCUUCCCCCACAUUCUACAAUGCUGAACUUUUCAUUUCUGUUAUUUUUGUGAGUUUUGGCAGCUGCAGAUGUUCUUUUGUUUUAUUCUGUCCCCUUUUCCCCACUUAAAUUGAAGCCAGGUACACCAAUUGCGACUUUUAACAGCACCACCCUCCCCUUAUUUCCCCCCCCCCAACAUUCUUCCUCCCAUUCUGAGUGUUUUUCAGGCAAGUUUCUUUGGAAUGUGCAGAUUGGCUCCAGCUCCACGUAUGCUGCUGACUGCUGUUGUUUGGAGCGAAUUGGCGGCUGCUUCCAGCAUUCACAGCCAGAUGUUACAAAUGUGACCCAGCCAGAAGCUGCAAUGUGCCCACACUCACUCUUGCUCCAAGCUGCAAAGCUUUGUGUGGGACUGCUCUCGCCUCCUCUGGAAAUCUGAAGUCUGCUUUGCUCACUAGUUUUCCCUCCUUUCUUUUUUAACUGGUAGUACAAGCUCUUUCACAACAUCUGAAGUGCUCUCUGAAGAAAAGCAGGGCCUUCCUUCGUGACUGAGAUUUUGCACUCCCAAAAACUCCUGGAUCCAAUGCCCAGAAAGCAUCAUUUUCAGUUCUUGGAAUACUUGUUGCAGCUCAGGCAGGUUAACAGGUUUUCUCAGCUAAGUGUUUAGAAUGGGAGUGGGAAGGUGGAAUUGCAAGGUCAAAGUAGGAGCCUAAAUCACCCACAUUUGGGUUUUAAAGAACUGGCAAAUGCCCCUAUAUUCGGCUUGGCCUUUAACUAGACUAAUGAGCUGAGGCUGUGCCUGAGAUUUCUGGGAAUGCAUCCAUGGUUAAGAGUGGACUUUACCCAUGCUCCUUGCUGGCUCCUAGGAAACUCCUUGUGCUGUUGAUGCACAGCUAUGUCUUCCCAUUCCAUCUCAACUGGGAGUGGCUGUCAAGGUGUUGGGCCAGUGAGUGUCUGGAAGCAGUGAUGGGCUGGAUGGAGGACAAUAAACUAAUUUCUGGACCAGAAAUUAGAUGCACAGCCUUUUCUCGUAGCUUCAAUAACUAGAGCAGGGUCAAUACAGGAAAGCCUCAUUUUUUUAUUUACUAUUCUUUCUUUAUUGAAAAGAGGAAAAUGGCAAACUAGAAAGCCACAUUUCUUCAUAUUAGGCAGGCAGCGAACUGUGCAGCCUUACCUGGUGGUUCAGCUAGCCCAGGGAGCCAGAUGGGGUUGUGUCAGAAAUGUACAGUGUUCCAAGCCAUAAUUAAAACAAAUUUAAAUACUUAUUUGUUCUAGGGAGCUGUGGAGAGUGCACAUAGACCCCUGCAGCAGAGAAGGGGUUAAGUGGAAAAUAUUGAAGGUGCAAAGGCCACCCUGACCCCUGUCACUGGUGGUCCUUGUCAGUGGAGCUAGAGAUGCUGGGAGCAUCAUUAGAGCUGCUAUUUAAAUUGCACGUUCAUAGGGCAGGGCAAUGGGUGAAGUCAAGGAACACCAUUGUUUGCAGUUCAUUAGCAACAGAGAAACAGGCGAGGGGGGAGAGAGGGUGAAGGGGCAUCAGAGCAGCUCCAUCCUGCCUGGCAUGUGUGGACUGAGUAGCAUAAUGUUGAAGAAAAGAGGACUGAUUAUGUAGUAGCCACAGCACUAAAUAAAAGUCGCUUAAAUUGGCAUUUGUUGGAGGACGGCUCAGAAUAUAGCAAGAAAGUUCCCAAUGAGAGCAAGGCCACGUUCACAAAAGCUCUUUCCCACCCAAAAUUGGCAUGAAGGGCAUUUCAUUUUUUAUGGGAGAUAUUCAGAACUGGAUGGUGAUGUGUUUUGUUUUUGCAAAAGUGAGUAUUCUCAGGAAGCCAUAAUCGCUGCAUGAAAUUCAAGUUGUCUGUGACUGUGUGUGCGUAAUUCUGGCUGUCUAAAUAGUGGGAAGACAAGUCUUGGCACCGUCCAAUUCUAGCGGGAUGGCUAUGGUAGCAAUCUUUUUUGAUUAAAACAACACACAGUCCUGCUGUUGCACCUUGGGAACUACACCAUGGACCAGAAAAGCCCAUUUUUCUUGGUUGCGUCUUGCAGGGACACUUUUGACUUUUUGCAUUAGGAGCGCUGAUUGGAUUUUUCGGGGCUUGGAUUGGACAGUUGAUACUUUGCAGACAGGCCUCUGUGAGGUGAGGCAGGGCAUCUGUGCCAGAGGGCAAAUUUUGAGGUGCAAUUAAACGACAAGAGACUUUCAAUUAUUGACUUAAUAGAUGAUCUAUCUCCCAACAGAGAACCUUGGGAAGAUCAGCUGCAAGGGGGUUACUAGGUAUGGGCCCAUGACACAAAUUAGCACAAUAUUUUUAUUUAUUUUUUGCAAAUUUUGCAUAAAUGUUUCCAAAUAAGCAUGAAUUUACUCAUUGUUGCAACUGCAUAUGCUGAAUCCACUUUUUGGAGGGAGAAAACAAACUCGGCCUAUCAAGACUUCCUCUGAGCUAUAGAGUGCCAAAAAGGUUUUCUGAGUGCAGGAUUUUGUUUGGGCUUCCUCCACCUGGAAUAUGUUAGGAAGAACUAAUGUUCAUAUGAAAACUAAAAUAAGGACUGCUGGGUAGAUUAAAUUGUUGGGUGUAUGUGGUUUAAUUAUCACUGCUGCUGUGCACCAGGGUGAGUUGUAAGCAGAGGUGAAAUAUACUCGGAGUCGACUGUGUGGAUUUCAUGCUCUUUAUUCAGCUCAUAGUAGUGAGGAAUGAAAGUUCCCCCAAAAUAUCUGCUUUAUAUACAUUGUUUACACAAUGGGCCGCACGAUUUUGGCUAAUUCUGGGAUUCUCCUGUAGGCCAAUCAGGUUGCGGAUUCACUUCCACCUGGAGCUGGAUUGGGUGGCUCCUGCAGACCAAUCAUACUGCUGCAUUGUUCUAGGACCAAUCAGACUGCUGCAUUCUGGAUCCUAUUGUUCUAGGACCAAUCAGACUGCUGCAUUUUGCAUCCUAUUCAACUCAGUACAUAACAAGAGGCAUAACAUGGGUUGCCAACUCCAGGGACCAUGUGGAGGGGUGGGUGGGAGGGAGGGAGGGAAGGGGACGGAGUGCGCAUGCACAUUCAACUGCCUAACGGCAUCUGUGUCACCCAAGAGAUUGCCGCUGCAGAGAUAAGAAGAGUCUUUCUGUUGUCUAGAGAGGUCACUGCCUGGUUUACAUGGAGAAGCCAUUUUCAACAGAGCCCAGCAACAGAAGCAUGCAGCUGUAUUGAGGCAGAACCAGGUGUUGAAUUUUUGCGCCCUGUCACAAUUUUGCUCCUGGGGCAGCUGCCCCAAUAGCACCCCCCACUCUAUGCCACAUCUAUUAUCUGUAAGCAAAGACAAAACAAGUGUAUGGAAGGUAAGGUUGCCAUAUUUCAAACAGUAAGAAUCCGAACAGAAAAGUUGUUGAGCUUUUGAGGUAUUUUUAUGCAAAAACGGCACUGCCGACAUAGGCUGCCAUUCAUCCGAAUUUCCUGGACUUUUUUACUGAUUUCUGUCUCGACACUGCUGCUGACUGCAGUAUUUCGGAUAUGUCCUGGAAAUUCCAGACGUAUGGCAACCCUAAUGGAAGAGACAUCUGGAUUUUGGCACAAAAAAAUCCAGGGCUUUGACCUCCUGGGUCACCCCAUGAUAAAAUCCCUGGGUGCACCUAUGAAAUAGAUUGUUGAACACCGGCUCUUACGAUGCCUCCAGGUGGCAGUGGGGCCAGGUCUACCCUUAGGCAGAAUGAAGCAUCUGUUUCAGGCACCAGGGGCUGAGAGGCAGCCACAGUGCCACUGAGUUAGCCUGCUCUGCACUUCCUAAGCUACCCAGUUGCCUCAGUAUUACAGUGGAGCAGUGCCAGAUUUACGUAUUAGCUAAACAAGCUAUAGCUUAGGGCCCCACUCUCUUGGGGGCCCCAAAAAAAUUCAAAGGGAAAAAAACUGGGUGUGCUUUUCCAAAAUAUAAGAUAAAAAACAAAUAAAACCUACAUACAGCAACAGUGUUUUGUGUUGUGUAGGCUCCUAUGAUGUAAGUAAUGAGCCCCACCUGCUAGCCUGCUCCCUAAAAUAUCACUAUUUUGCUCAUUUCUAUAUAUAGGGUGCCUGCAUUCUGCACAUGCAAAUGGCUUGAGAUACCUAUUAAAUCCGAAAAUUACCAUAUAGCAUAUAGUCAACACAAAACCAGCAACCAUUUGUUGUUGACAAAGGACAGCUGGACAUAUAAAGGGCCCCAUUACCUUCAGGAGCUUAAAGGUAAAGGUACCCCUGCCCGUAUGGGCCAGUCAUGUCCGACUCUAGGGUUGCGUGCUCAUCUCGCUCUAGAGGCCGUGAGCCAGCGCCGUCCGAAGACACUUCCGGGUCACAUGGCCAGCGUGAUGAAGCUGCAGCUGGCGAGCCAGCACCAGCACAGCACACAGAAACGCCGUUUACCUUCCCGCUAUAAAGCGGUACCUAUUUAUAUACUUGCACUUAAGAGUGCUUUCGAACUGCUAGGUGGGCAGGAGCUGGGACCAAACAACGGGAGCUCACCCCGCCGCGGGGAUUCGAACCGCCGACCAUACGAUCAGCAAGUCCUAGGGCCUCCUCAAACCUAAAUCUGGUCCUGCAGUGGAGGGUGUUGUCCCAUCAAUGGUGUCAAAAUAAAAUUCAACUGCCAGUCCAGCCAGACUGUAUGUAGAAUGAUGUGUGAGGGUUUCCUUCGCUUCAGGCAGCAAAAUGUCUUGAGCUAACCAUGAGUGGGAAGCACUGUCCUGUCGCACCUAACUAGGUGCUUCAGCAAACAGUGCUGAUGAGCACCCCAAGGAGAAGCUAUGGGGCAAAGGCAAAUCCCUUGUUGCUCCUGUUGAGUUGAAUGUGUCCCCUCCUGCCCCCUGGACUGCCUACCAAGCUCUAGCUUUCUACAUUCUGGAUACACUUAAUUACGUAGGUUUUUUGACCAGCUGUUUUUCAUGCAUCAUUGAGAAUUUGUGAUGGAAAUAUGAGCAAUCCAUGUUAAACACCCUAGGCUAAUUGAGCAAAGUGUGCAGGGAAGGGGGUCUACGGGAAGCAGGAUCCAUACAACUGUAUAUGCAAGUUAGCAUACGAAAAAUUGAUGUAGAUUUGUGUCCUUUUUUGGCAAUACAUAAGAGGCCACCGGCACAUCAUACACGGGGAGCAGUCCUUGGCUAUAUGCACUACAGUAUGGAUCAUCCACUUGAUUUCUGCAAUUUUGUUUUAGACUGUUUUAAUGCUGCUUUUGUUUUAAUGUUGUGUUUUAAUUGUUGGAUCCUGUCCUGGGGCCUUAGGGUGAAGAGGAUGAUGAUAAUGAUAAUGAUGAUGAUGAUGAUGAUGAUGAUAAUAAUAAUAAUAAUAAUAGAUUCUUUACACUCACACAUAGAAUCAUAGAACUGUAUAAUUUAAAGGGACCCCAAAAGUCAUCUAGUCCAUCCCCUGCAAUUCAGGAAUCACAGCUAAAGAACCCCUGACAGUUGACCAUCCAAACUCUGUUUAAAAAUCUCCAGUGAAGAAGAAUUCACCACCUUCUGAGGGAGUAAGCUCAAUUGUUGAACAACUCUUACUGUCAGAGAGUUCUUCUUAAUGUUUAGCCAGAAUCUCCUUUCAUGUCAUUUGAAUCAAAUGGUUUGAGCCCUACCCUCUGGAGCAGGAGAAAACAAGCUUGCUCUAUCCUCCAUGUGACAACUCUUUAGCUAUUUGAAGAUGGCUAUCUUAUCUCCUCUCAAUCUCCUCAUAAGCCUUGAUUUCCAGACCCCUGAUCAUCUUGCUUGCCCUCCUCUGCACACGUUCUAGAUUAUCAGUAUCCUUCUUAAAUUGUGGUGCCCAGAACUGGACACAAGACUCCAGGUGUAGUCUCACCAAGGCAGAAUAGAAUGGUGCUAUUAUUUCCUUGAUCUGGACACUAGCCUUCUGUUGAUGCAGCCUAGAAUAGCAUUAGUUUUUUUUGCUGCUGCAUCACACUGUUGAUUCAUGUUAAGCUUGCGGUCCACCAAGACCCCUAGAUCCUUUUCACAUGUACUGCUAGUAAGCCAGGUGUCCCCCAUCCUAUAUUUGUGCAUCUGGUUCUUCCUGCCUAAGUGCAGAACCCCACACUUGUCCCUAUUGAAAUCAUUUUGUUAGCUUGGGCCCAGUUCUCCAAUCUGUUAAUGUCAUUUUGAAUUCUGCUUCAAAGUUUGGUGUCAUCUGCAGAUUUGAUGAGCAUCUCCUCAAUUCCCUCAUCUGUCGUUUAUAAAGACAUUGAACAACAAUAGACCCAGGACAGAACCCUGCAACACCCCACUUGUCAUUUUUUUCCAGGAUGAGGAAGAACCAUCAAAUAGCACUCUAUGGGUUCAGUCAGUCAACCAGCUACAAAUCCACCUAACAGUUACCUCAUUCAACCCACAUUUUACUAGCUUCCUUACAAGAAUAUCAUAGGGGAUUUUGUCAAAAGCCUUACUGAAGUUAAGAUACAAUAUUUCCACAGCAUUCUCCUGAUCCACCAAGCUAGUAACUCCAUCAAAAAAGAAAUUAGAUUCGUCUAGCAUGACUUAUUUUUGAGAAACUCAUGCUGGGUCUUAGAAAUCACAGCAUCCUUUUCUAAGUGCUCACAGUUUGACCGUUGAAUUAUCUGUUCUAGGACCUUUCCUGGUAUCAAUGUCAAGCUCACUGGUCAGUGGUUACAUGGGUCUGCUUUCCCUCUCUUUGAAGAUGGGGACACCUCCAGUCUGUUGGGACCUCACCUGUUCUCCAAGAAUUCUCAAAGAUCAUAGACAGAGGCUCUGAGAUCACAUCUGCAAGCUCCUUUGGUACCCUUGGGUGCAGCGCAUCAGGCCCUGGAGAUCUGAAUUCAUUUAAAGUAGCCAGGUGUUCCCUUACUAUCUCUUUUCCUAUCUUGGACUGCAGCUCCCUCCAUACAUCAUUGAUUCAGUUAUCACCAGGUUGGGCAUCGCUUUCCUUGUGGGUGAAGACAGAGGCAAAGUAGGUGUUGAAUAGUUCCACCUUCUCUCUUGUCAUCCAAUAGCAUUUCCCCGUCUUCUCCAUGCAGAAGACCCUUCACUUGCUUGUUCUUCCUCUUGCUUUGGCCAUAGCCCCCAACCCCUUUUUUAUUAUUUCUGAUCUCUCUUGCAAGCCUGAGCUCAUUCUGAGCUUUAGCCAGCCUGACUUUGCCCCUGCAACUGUUGGCUACUCGUCCAUACUCCUCCUUAGUGAUUUCUCCCUUUUGCCAUUUCUUAACUCUCAGCUCAUCUGUAAGCUCCUUAUGCAGCCACAGUGGUUUCCUUAGAUGCCUCCCACUUUUCUUUCUUGUUGGAAUUGUCUGCAAUUGGGUGUCUUCAAUAUUUCUCCUUUUGGAAACUCCCAUCCAUCUUAAACUCCCUUCUCUUUGAGUAUUUCUGACCAUGGGAUCUCACCCAGUAGCUGCCUAAGCUUUUUAAAAUUGGCCUUCUUAAAGUCCAGAGUUCAUGUCUGGCUACCCUCAGCUUCCCCUUGCCUCUGUAUCAUGAAAUCCAAGAGGACAUGAUCAUUUCCUCCCAAGUUUCUGAGCACUUCCACUUCAUCAAUCAUCUCCUCCCUGUUGGUGAGGACCAGGUCCAAGAUAGACGAUCCCCUUCUUGCUUCUUCCAUCUUCUGGGAAAUGAGACAGUCAGCGAGGCAGUGGAGGAAUUUGUUGGACCUUACAUUCUUGGCAGAGUUUGAAUUCCAACAGAUAUUGGAGAAGUUGAAGUCUUCCAUGACCACUAUAUCUCUCCUUUUUGAAUGUUUGGUAAUCAGCUCUAGGAAGGCAUCAUCCAAGUCUUCAGUCUGGCUUGGCGCCUGUACAGACACCCACAGGAAGGUCACUGUUGGUUAUCUCACCUACAGUUUUUACUCAUAUAUUCUCAUAUUUACUCAUAUAUUCUCAUUCAGCUUUCCAUGGUCCAGGUCAUGGAUUUAUUCACAAGUGUACACAUCGUUUACAUACAAUGCUACUGCUUCUCCCUUCCUGUUUGGUCUGUUCCUUUUGAACAGGUUAUUCGCCUCAAUUCCUAUUUUCCAGUCAUGAGUCCCGUUCCGUCAUGUUUCAGUAAUGCCUACCAGAUCACAUUUGCCAUUCUGUAAUUCAUCUUACUUGUUUCCCAUACUCUGUGCAUUUGUGUAGAGACAAUUGAGUCUACACAAUUGAGACAAUGGAGUCCUUCCCUCCAGCUGCUCCCUUCUUGUACUUUCUUGCCCCUUAGUAGGUUUCUAGAGCACCACCUCUGUUUCCUUUGCAUCAAUAAAGCUAUUAUCCCCAGUACCAGGUGUUCUUCUGUCGCCUAUAAUGUUGUCUCCCUCCCUCUCAGGAUUUAGUUUCAAGCUCUCCUGAUCAGUUUGUGAGACUGUUAGCAAACACAUUCUUGCCAACCACUAUGAAGUGCAGUCCAUCUCUCAGUAGAAGUCCUUCUUCAAGGAAGCGGAGACUGUGAUCCAAGAUGCCAAACACUUCCUGACGACACCACCUGCACACCCAGUGAUUUACUUGAAGUAUUUUCCUCUCUCUUUCUGGGCUACGACCUUCAACUGGAAGGAGUGAUGAGAAGACCACCUGUGCCCAGAGUCUCACAGUCCCAUGCUAUAUGUUGAGGGCUGUGUGUGGCAGUAUUAUUUGUACCCACAUGAAUCAGAAUGACUCUGUCCUCAUCGCAACUGCGUUAAUUUUUGCACAAAUUGAGCAGUGACCUAUGUUUACGAAGAGGGUUCCUGGUGGAGCUGCAUUGCGGACUUGGCUGUUUUUGCUGAAUCAGCGGCAGCAAUAUGAACAGGUAAUUACGCCCUGCCAUGUGUGUCUAAUUCUGACACAGGCAGCAGCUGAGCAGCAGGCUGUGUGACGCUACCAGUGGACGAUGGGGAAGGAGCAAGGAAUAAAUUGGUCCCCAUGGCCAGAGGGAGGGGAAGGGGACUUUGUCAGAUCCCUCUGUCUUCCUAUGGCACCGAGAAUCUGCCUUUGCUGCGAUGGCAUUAUUUAAUACCGCUAAGAUGUCAACAGGAAAUCCUUUCAAGCAUAGUUUGAUACAUCAUGACAGAAAAUCGUUCAAGGCAGGGGACAAGAUACCCAGCCGCAAUGGAGGGUCUGGGCUGGGGGUGCAUUUCCUUCAAAUCACCAUGUAAAAAUCAUGAUGCAGCAGCAAAACAGAAGCCCCCUUCCCAGAGGAAAUAGAAGCUCUUUAAGGCGUUCAAUUUCCCCCUCCAGUUGGUACAGCAUGAGAUCCUUAAUCUUAGGAUUGUGGGUUUGAGCCCCACGUUGGGCAAAAGAUUCCAGCAUUGCAGGGGGCUGCACUAGAUGACCUCUGUGGUCCCUUCUAAUGCUGCAAUUCUAUGAGUCUAUGCUCCCAAUCCAACAACCCCCUCCAUAUCAUGAACUGAGACACAACUCUUCAGAAGUUGGAUCUGGGCUCUUCUACCAGCAAAAAAACAGGAAUUAAAAUCCUUUGGGAGAUGGUGGGCUCCUUCAUUGGAGGUUUUUCAGUGGAGGUUCAGUGCCCAACUGUCAGGGAUUCUUUAGCUGUGGUUCCUGCAUUGCGGUUGGACUAGAUGGCCCUCGGGGUCCCUUCAAACUCCAUGAUUCUAAAACACAAUUAAAACCAGCAAUUAAAAUGCAGUUUGCCCUGACAGCAACCUGGUGGGAGGCAUCACCCUCACCAUAGUUUUCAAAGGCCUGUCUGAAGAGGAAGGUCUUAGUCUGUGGGCAGAAGGAUAACACAGAGCGAACCGAUCUAUCCUACAUGGUCUCCUUUUAGCCCAUAUCUGUACCCAGUGCUUUUUUAAAAGAAAAAAAAAAGGUGCUGGGACUCACCAUGAAGUUGUCACAGUAAGUGCCACACUUUUAACAUUGGGGUGUGUGUGCUGGUACUGCAUACACUUGAGCACUCCCAGAAAAAAGCACUGCCUGUACCUUUUGGCACCAGUGUUCUUGGGAACUGUUGACUCCAGUUCCUCCUCUGACAGCUCUAAAGCUUAACCCCCAGCGGCCCCCUCAAGGGGGUCAUUGGCCUGUGAGGUGCAGGAUUAAUCCUCCGGGGACUCCAUGUCUGGCACCAGGUCAGGGUUAGGCCGAGGAGCAAAGUGGAUCCAGCUGCCACUGGCAGACUCAGCACAACACCACGGCAAGGAGAUCUUGCUUAAGGCUACCAGACUUUUUUCAAAGAAUCCGGGGACACUUGUGCCAUUGAACCAAUCACGCAACAUUCAUUCCCUACUAAUAAAUCUACAACACUUAAAUGAAAUCACAUUAAAUGAAAUCCGGGGAUAUUCCGGGAACAGAUUUUGUCCUGGGACAGAUUUGUAAAUCCGGGGACUGUCCCCGGGAAACGGGGACGUCUGGGAACCAUAAUCUUGCUGCUGACCUGUACGAGCUCCUAAAAAUCCUAUGCCACUCUACUAAAAGACAAGCACUGCAGCAAAUGCCUGGGUAAACAGGAAUGUCCUUGUUUGGUGCCUAAAAUUUAAUGUGAAGGCACCAGGCACAGCUCUCUGGGGAUAGCUUUUUUAAUUAUUUCAUAAAAUGUAUAUGCCACUUGAAUGUAAAACAACCACAAAGACUUCCGGUUUCUGUGAAUGGCGAAAAGGAGUGCUAGUCUGAUCAUCUGACGGACUCAAGCCCCGCGGAGAUACAGGGGGAAGCGCCAAGGUGAGACGCACCCCCUAAAAAGCCUUGAGAGGGUUCUCAAGGGGUCAAGGUGUCCAGCAGUCCGCAAAAGGGCUCUCCUGCGACCCUCAAAUCCCUGUUCCAAGAGGAACGGGGAGUGGGGGGGGCAGUGAUUGAGCCUCCGGACAUGGCAGCAGUAUUGGGCAUUUUCACUCUGUUCAGACCAUUUUUAAUUGUUUAAUAGUAACUUAUUGAACAUGGCAAUUAAAAAGCAACCAACCCCAAGUUCGGAUAGAAGGACCUCUGUACAGGACACGGGGGAUAAGCCUUAUGGUGAAUGGGUGGAAUUCUUUUAUAAAUUGAGAAAUGAGUUAAUUAAGAAGAUAAAGGAAAAUUUGGAUAAGACAGCAAAUAAACUUAUAGCCCCAAUGGACAAAAAUACUGAAAUGGUGACAGAACUGAUUUUUAAGAUAGAACCAGUGACAAAGAAAACAGAAGCGGUGGAGGUCUUGAUGCAAGGGCUGAAGGAAAAUUUUAGAAAAAUGGAAAUUGUGAUUGAUAUUAAGAAAUACCAGGAGACACUCAGGGCAGAUAUGGAUGGCAUGGGGGGGGCAGGGAAUAUUUGGGAAUGCCUUGGUGGCAGAAAUGAGGCAGAAAUUACAGCCUCUGAGACCAAGAGGAGACUGUGAGGAAGGGCAGCAGGGUUUUAAAUCAGAUGUAACUAUAGUUGCCUUCCAGCGAAAUUUAAAUAUGCCAAAGUUAGGAAAAAGAAUGGGAAACACUUAUUGUAUAUGUGCAAUAAUAAUGUAAAUAAAUUGAUACAUUGGCAGGCUCUGACUACACACUUGCAAUCAGCAAAAUUUGGAUAGAAGAAGAAGAAGAAGAAGAAGAAGAAGAAGAAGAAAUGAAGUAUGUGUAUGGAAAUGCAGAAGAAUUUAUUAAAAUCAGAAGAAGAAUUGAUGAAGUGUGUGUAUGGAAAUGCAGAAGAAUUUUUGUUAAUAUAAAGAACCAGAAGAGGGAAUGGAGGGAAGUCAUGAGGUCUAAAGAACCUCAAAACAAGGUUUUGCAAAUUUUUUUGUGAAUGGGGACGGGGGAUUUGUUUUUUGUAGUUAAUUGUGGAAAUUAAUUGUGAAAAAAAUCAAUAAAAAUUAUUUACAAAAAGAGAAUGUACAACAACAACAACUCCCAAAGCAGUUUGCAAAAAGAUAAUAUAAGAAAAUAAUGUGGGUGGCCUUGACUCCCCCUAAACUCCUAGGUGCCAGAUCCUCCUCUAAGAUUCCUGGGUCUAAUGGGUGUUGGAAUAUUAAAAUGGGCUGCCAGACACUGGAUUUAGCAAAGUGUUAAAAUACAGGCCAAACCAGUUUCCUGAUCAUGAAAUCACCUGGGAGAAGAGCCAUUAUGGAGAACAAAAGGAAAGUAAUGGGUGAUUACACAGAGCAAAUACUCUGUGUCCGAUGGCAGAUGGCUGGGAGCCCUCCUUCAAGAGAAAGAUAGUUAGCAGAGACAAAGCAGAGUUGGGCCUUAGGACUGCAGUUGGGGAUGAUGUGGACUGGAGAAAAAAUAGUUGCAGACUGGAGAGAAGAGAGAGAGUCUGUUAAAUGCAGCGAGCUGAGCAGAGUCACAGAGACCAUGGCUGAUUUCUGCUGGCAUCCAAACUGUGGGCAUGGGAGAAGCAAGAACCUCUUGGAGUGUAAUACUCUGAGCCCCUCCAUCCCAGACUUGGGUUGUAUAUAUGUAUAAAUAAACCAUAUAUCAUGAAGACACCACAGUUCCUGCUGUGCCUCUUUCAAAGGCAACACAAACCUUGGGUAAGGACCCAACCCCCUGGAAUUUUGCAUCGCUGGGAGAUUGGGGUGGCACAUAGCAACACUAAAACAGAUUAAGAUUCACACCAACUUUCUAAGGCUUGUUUAAACAAGAAUGUUUUUGAAAGAGUACAGUGAAGGUGCCUCCUUGAUACCAAUAGGCAGGGACUUCCAAAGUGUAGGUGCUGCCACACUCAGAGACCAAGUUCAUACAAAUGCACAGAACGGGUAUUAUGUGGCACCAGUAGUAGUGCCAAUUCUGCUGAUCAAAGUGGUCAUGUGUGGGCUAAGAUGUUCUCGUAGGUAAGCUGGUCCCAAUGUUGUUCAGAGCUUUAUAUCCUAAAGAUAACACCUUAAACUUAUCUGAAGAAGUGUUCCUGCACACCAAAGCUCAUACCAAUAACAAACUUAGUUGGUCUCUAAGGUGCUACUGGAAGGAAUUUUUUUUUAAUUUUGUUUCGACUACGGCAGACCAACACGGCUACCUACCUGUAACCUUAAACUUAGCCUGGUAGCAAAUGGGCAACCAGUGCAGGUCUCUGAGGAGGGGUCCUUCUGUGCAGCCCCUCCUGUCAAUAAUCAUGCUGCAGCUUCCAAAUCAGGUUGAAGGGAAGCCCCACCUAGAGCGCAUAGCAAGGCUUUCCUAGCCCAGGAAUGGCUGUAACUAGUCAAUAGCACUUCCUACCUUGACACAUCCCCCUCUUCUCCCCCAGCUCCUGCCCAUCUGCUUUCAUGCUUUGCCUUGCCACCAGCAUACAGAAGCCCCCCCUCUCCCUGUUUCCCCCUCCAGCCUCAUCACUUGCCUCGGCCAAAACCUGUAUCAAACGAUGACAAAACCCUGAACCUGUUUGCCAGCCUCUGGACCGCAGGUGGCUGGAGGUUUGCGAUCAGAAAAGUUGCCGAAAGCGCCAGCCAAUCCACUCCCAUCUCAAAAGCUUAAUGACUGCAGCCCGUCCACCUUACCCAUCCCUUCAAGGCAUGAGCUUUGAAGGAUCCAGCACAGGGGCUCACUUAAUUACCUCCAGUUGUAUAUGACGUUGUCAUGUUGAUUUACUAAAUAUACGUGGGAAACCUCUUUAUUUUGCCAGCCUAUAGAGGAUAUAAUCCAGAGCUCCCAGGAGCGGCUCUGACACCAAUUCCCUCUGGUUAUGUUACCUGUCUUUUCCACCUGCAAUUGCACCGAUGAAGCCCGGAAGGGAUGUCAAUAACUAAUUUAUUCAUUUUACUUCUGAUUUAUUAUAAAAAGGAGAAGAUGUCAGGGCAACUUGUAUCGAGUGACAGUGAAGCUCGCAGUACCUUCAGAAAAGUCUGUGCCUUCAACAAGUAGGAAUCAGCACAUGCCCCAGCGCAACAUCGUAUUUCUUGAUGCAAUAAUAAUAGGGCACUUCAGAGGUCCGUGGUUGUGUGUUUGAUGGCCAGGAACAUUUUUAUUCCUUUCCAAGACACUACCCCCCAAGCUGGGACCAUGCAAAUUCUUUGCUUGUUUGUUUGUUUACAUUUCUAUCCUGACAUUUCACCUGGCAGGACUUUUCACCUGACAGGGCUUUCCACACCGACUCACGCAACCAAGGUCCUUGGCACACAGCUCCUCUGGAUUGCCAAAGUGUCGCAAAGAUGAUGGGCAGUGUUUCCAGACAGGUGUGAGGAACAUUUUUUGGUCUGAGGGCCACAUUCCCCAUUCAAGAAGUUUCUAGGGGUGACAAGGCAGUUUUGGGUAGAGCCAGAGGCAAAAGGUGAGCGGAACAACAGGUGUGGCUCUUUUUUCAUAUUUUUUAUUGCUCAAUUUCCACAUAACAAAUUAUCAAACCAUAUAAUCGCCUACAUAAUUCCCCCCCUCCCCCCAUGGACUUCCCUCAGCUCCUCUCCCUGAUUUCGCUG
RNAcentral lists this long non-coding RNA (20011 nucleotides) under Podarcis lilfordi (Lilford's wall lizard). The record is from RNAcentral. Lineage: Eukaryota; Metazoa; Chordata; Lepidosauria; Squamata; Lacertidae.